This is a long non-coding RNA of Perca fluviatilis (European perch), 868 nucleotides long. RefSeq lists it as uncharacterized. The record is from RefSeq and is a predicted model, not a curated record. The transcript has 5 exons. NCBI's taxonomy places the organism in Eukaryota, Metazoa, Chordata, Actinopteri, Perciformes, Percidae.
GUAGUAAACACACAUGACUAACCUGUAGUAAACACACAUGUGUAACAGGUCUAACCUGUAGUAAACACACAUGUGUAACAGGACUAACCUGUAGUAAACACACAUGUGUAACAGGACUAACCUGUAGUAAACACACAUGACUAACCUGUAGUAAACACACAUGUGUAACAGGACUAACCUGUAGUAAACACACAUGUGUAACAGGACUAACCUGUAGUAAACACACAUGUGUAACAGGUCUAACCUGUAGUAAACACACAUGUGUAACAGGACUAACCUGUAGUAAACACACAUGUGUAACAGGACUAACCUGUAGUAAACACACAUGACUAACCUGUAGUAAACACACAUGUGUAACAGGACUAACCUGUAGUAAACACACAUGACUAACCUGUAGUAAACACACAUGACUAACCUGUAGUAAACACACAUGUGUAACAGGACUAACCUGUAGUAAACACACAUGUGUAACAGGUCUAACCUGUAGUAAACACACAUGACUAACCUGUAGUAAACACACAUGUGUAACAGGACUAACCUGUAGUAAACACACAUGUGUAACAGGACUAACCUGUAGUAAACACACAUGUGUAACAGGACUAACCUGUAGUAAACACACAUGACUAACCUGUAGUAAACACACAUGUGUAACAGGACUAACCUGUAGUAAACACACAUGACUAACCUGUAGUAAACACACAUGUGUAACAGGACUAACCUGUAGUAAACACACAUGUGUAACAGGACUAACCUGUAGUAAACACACAUGUGUAACAGGACUAACCUGUAGUAAACACACAUGACUAACCUGUAGUAAACACACAUGUGUAACAGGACUAACCUGUAGUAAACACACAUGACUAACCUG